GACGAACGCUGGCGGCGUGCUUAACACAUGCAAGUCGAACGGAAAGGCCCUGCUUUUGUGGGGUGCUCGAGUGGCGAACGGGUGAGUAACACGUGAGUAACCUGCCCUUGACUUUGGGAUAACUUCAGGCAACUGGGGCUACUACCGGCUAGGAGCUCCUGCUGCAUGGGGGGGGUUGGAAAGUUUCGGCGGGUGGGGAUGGACUCGGGGCUUAUCAGCUUGUUGGUGGGGUAGUGGCUUACCAAGGCUUUGACGGGUAGCCGGCAUGAGAGGGUGACCGGCCACAUUGGGACUGCGAGACGGCCCAGACUCCUACGGGAGGCAGCAGGGGGGAAUAUUGCACAAUGGGCGGAAGCCUGAUGCAGCAACGCCGCGUGCGGGAUGACGGCCAUCGGGUUGUAAACCGCUUUCGCCUGUGACGAAGCGUGAGUGACGGUAAUGGGUAAAGAAGCACCGGCUAACUACGUG
Molecule: ribosomal RNA, 468 nt
Filed under: uncultured bacterium
Lineage: Bacteria
Description: partial 16S ribosomal RNA
Rfam family: Bacterial small subunit ribosomal RNA
Source: RNAcentral